ACCUUGAGUGUGUUAUAGUUUGACUACACCAUAACUCGAUCUCCUAGCUAUUCAGAACCCUGAGGUGUAUGUUGGCUGUAGCAUAUUCAUUGUAGGAACCAGAUUGCACCAAGAUGGGAUCUAUCAACCUCGAUAGAUAAGAGAAGUAGUCUUAUGAUGAUCGAAAGAUUGAGUCCUUAAGCCCAUGGCCAUGGCAGAGUGAAAUAAUGGAAAAGAGUUUUCUAUUGGAGUUUCACAUCGGAUUCGGAUCGAUC
This 254-nucleotide long non-coding RNA is filed under the name Elaeis guineensis (African oil palm). RNAcentral describes it as "long non-coding RNA (EGUI_LNC068922)". Lineage: Eukaryota; Viridiplantae; Streptophyta; Magnoliopsida; Arecales; Arecaceae. The record is from RNAcentral.